AGGCUAUGAUAUCUAACGUUUAUGAUCUGGAUCUGGAUGACUACGUUUUAUUAAGAUCCCUAGAUGUCUAAAUUAUUAGUGACAUCAUAAAUUACUAAUCACCAAUUGUGGAUUGUCUGAUGUUGAUAGAUAUUACUAACAACAGGUUAUAUUUAUAUUCUUCUUCUAAGUUCUAUUUUGUUUUUGUUCUUACUUUAUUUUCUAAUGAGAUGUAUUGAAUGUUUGGUUGAUGAAAUGGUAGGGUAUAUUGAUAAAUGGACAGUUUCCAGGACCUCAGAUUGAAGCUGUCACUAAUGAUAACUUGAUUAUCAGUGUUUUCAAUAGCUUGGAUCAACCUUUUCUGUUUUCUUGGAAUGGAGUAGAGCAGAGAAGAAAUUCAUGGCAAGAUGGAGUAUAUGGAACAAACUGUCCAAUUCCACCAGGAAAGAACUUCACUUAUGUUCUUCAAGUAAAAGAUCAGAUUGAGAGAAAGUGGUGGUUCCCGUGACGAAACCGUACGUAACGUUUGAAGGUGAAGGAAGAGAAGUAACAGUGAUAGAAUGGCAUGAUAGAACGAGUGAUCCUGGUCCCAAUGGACAACAGCUACGGACUUAUAGAACUGC
Long non-coding RNA from Vicia villosa (hairy vetch), 602 nucleotides. RefSeq lists it as uncharacterized. The record is from RefSeq and is a predicted model, not a curated record. The transcript has 3 exons. NCBI's taxonomy places the organism in Eukaryota, Viridiplantae, Streptophyta, Magnoliopsida, Fabales, Fabaceae.